Molecule: ribosomal RNA, 253 nt
Filed under: uncultured bacterium
Lineage: Bacteria
Description: partial 16S ribosomal RNA
Rfam family: Bacterial small subunit ribosomal RNA
Source: RNAcentral
UACGAAGGGAGCUAGCGUUGCUCGGAAUCACUGGGCGUAAGGCGCACGUAGGCGGCUUUCUAAGUCAGGGGUGAAAUCCUGGAGCUCAACUCCAGAACUGCCUUUGAUACUGGAGGGCUUGAGUCCGGAAGAGGUGAGUGGAACUCCGAGUGUAGAGGUGAAAUUCGUAGAUAUUCGGAAGAACACCAGUGGCGAAGGCGGCUCACUGGUCCGGUACUGACGCUGAUGUGCGAAAGCGUGGGGAGCAAACAGG